This 455-nucleotide ribosomal RNA is filed under the name uncultured bacterium. Its description in RNAcentral is "partial 16S ribosomal RNA". It matches the Rfam family "Bacterial small subunit ribosomal RNA", at positions 355 to 801 of the family's 1533-position model. The record is from RNAcentral.
UGGGGAAUUUUGGACAAUGGGCGCAAGCCUGAUCCAGCCAUGCCGCGUGCGGGAAGAAGGCCUUCGGGUUGUAAACCGCUUUUGUCAGGGAAGAAAUCUUCUGAGUUAAUACCUCGGGAGGAUGACGGUACCUGAAGAAUAAGCACCGGCUAACUACGUGCCAGCAGCCGCGGUAAUACGUAGGGUGCAAGCGUUAAUCGGAAUUACUGGGCGUAAAGCGUGCGCAGGCGGUUUUGUAAGACAGAGGUGAAAUCCCCGGGCUCAACCUGGGAACUGCCUUUAUGACUGCAAGGCUUGAGUGCGGCAGAGGGGGAUGGAAUUCCGCGUGUAGCAGUGAAAUGCGUAGAUAUGCGGAGGAACACCGAUGGCGAAGGCAAUCCCCUGGGCCUGCACUGACGCUCAUGCACGAAAGCGUGGGGAGCAAAACAGGAUUAGAUACCCUGGUAGUCCACGCC